CUGGACUGUAACUGACGCUGAGGCACGAAAGCGUGGGGAUCAAACAGGAUUAGAUACCNUGGUAGNNCACGCCGUAAACGAUGAAUGCUAGCUGUUAGCGAUAUACUGUUAGCGGCACAGAGAAAUCGUUAAGCAUUCCACCUGGGGAGUACGCCGGCAACGGUGAAACUCAAAGGAAUUGACGGGGGCCCGCACAAGCGGAGGAACAUGUGGUUUAAUUCGAUGAUACGCGAGGAACCUUACCUGGGCUUAAAUUGCAGUGGAAUAACGUGGAAACAUGUUAGCCUUCGGGCCGCUGUGAAGGUGCUGCAUGGUUGUCGUCAGCUCGUGCCGUGAGGUGUCGGCUUAAGUGCCAUAACGAGCGCAACCCUCAUCGAUAGUUACUAACAGGUUAAGCUGAGGACUCUAUCGAGACUGCCGACGUAAGUCGUGAGGAAGGUGGGGAUGACGUCAAAUCAGCACGGCCCUUACGUCCAGGGCUACACACGUGUUACAAUGGGGGGUACAAAGGGCAGCUACCUGGCGACAGGAUGCUAAUCUCAAAAACCUCUCUCAGUUCGGAUUGGAGUCUGCAACCCGACUCCAUGAAGCUGGACUCGCUAGUAAUCGCGCAUCAGCCACGGCGCGGUGAAUACGUUCCCGGGCCUUGUACACACCGCCCGUCAAGCCAUGGGAGCCGGGGGGACCUGAAGUAUGCAACCGUAAGGAGCGUCCUAGGGUAAAACUGGUGACUGGGGCU
Molecule: ribosomal RNA, 739 nt
Filed under: uncultured prokaryote
Description: bacterial SSU rRNA
Rfam family: Bacterial small subunit ribosomal RNA
Source: RNAcentral